Molecule: ribosomal RNA, 1494 nt
Filed under: uncultured bacterium
Lineage: Bacteria
Description: bacterial SSU rRNA
Rfam family: Bacterial small subunit ribosomal RNA
Source: RNAcentral
AGAGUUUGAUCCUGGCUCAGGAUGAACGCUGGCGGCGUGCCUAACACAUGCAAGUCGAGCGAAGCGCUUAAGUCAGAAUCUUCGGAGGAAGGCUUUUGUGACUGAGCGGCGGACGGGUGAGUAACGCGUGGGUAACCUGCCUUACACAGGGGGAUAACAGUGAGAAAUCAUUGCUAAUACCGCAUAUGCCAUAAUUACCACAUGGUGAUAGUGGGAAAGGAGAAAUCCGCUGAUAGAUGGGCUUGCGUCUGAUUAGAUAGUUGGUGGGGUAACGGCCUACCAAGUCGACGAUCAGUAGCCGAACUGAGAGGUUGAACGGCCACAUUGGGACUGAGAUACGGCCCAGACUCCUACGGGAGGCAGCAGUCGGGAAUAUUGCACAAUGGAGGAAACUCUGAUGCAGUGACGCCGCGUGCAGGAAGAAGGUUUUCGGAUUGUAAACUGCUUUAGACAGGGAAGAAAAAAGACAGUACCUGUAGAAUAAGCUCCGGCUAACUACGUGCCAGCAGCCGCGGUAAUACGUAGGGAGCAAGCGUUAUCCGGAUUUAUUGGGUGUAAAGGGUGCGUAGACGGGUUAACAAGUUAGUUGUGAAAUCCCUCGGCUUAACUGAGGAACUGCAACUAAAACUAUUAAUCUUGAGUGCGGGAGAGGAAAGUGGAAUUCCUAGUGUAGCGGUGAAAUGCGUAGAUAUUAGGAGGAACACCAGUGGCGAAGGCGACUUUCUGGACCGUAACUGACGUUGAGGCACGAAAGUGUGGGGAGCAAACAGGAUUAGAUACCCUGGUAGUCCACACUGUAAACGAUGGAUACUAGGUGUAGGGGUUAUUAAGACUUCUGUGCCGUCGCAAACGCAGUAAGUAUCCCACCUGGGGAGUACGACCGCAAGGUUGAAACUCAAAGGAAUUGACGGGGGCCCGCACAAGCAGUGGAGUAUGUGGUUUAAUUCGAAGCAACGCGAAGAACCUUACCAGGGCUUGACAUAUACAGUAAUAUACUAGAGAUAGUAUAGCUCUUCGGAGACUGUAUACAGGUGGUGCAUGGUUGUCGUCAGCUCGUGUCGUGAGAUGUUGGGUUAAGUCCCGCAACGAGCGCAACCCCUGUUUCUAGUUGCCAGCGCGUAAUGGUGGGAACUCUAGAAAGACUGCCGGUGAUAAAUCGGAGGAAGGUGGGGACGACGUCAAAUCAUCAUGCCCUUUAUGUCCUGGGCUACACACGUACUACAAUGGCUAUAACAAAGAGAAGCGAAGCAGUGAUGUGGAGCGAAACUCAAAAAAAUAGUCUCAGUUCGGAUUGAAGGCUGAAAUUCGCCUUCAUGAAGCCGGAAUUGCUAGUAAUGGCAGGUCAGCAUACUGCCGUGAAUACGUUCCCGGGCCUUGUACACACCGCCCGUCACACCAUGAGAGUUGGGAAUACCCGAAGCCUGUGAGCUAACUUAUAGAGGCAGCAGUCGAAGGUAGAAUCAAUGAUUGGGGUGAAGUCGUAACAAGGUAACC